Molecule: long non-coding RNA, 571 nt
Organism: Rosa rugosa (rugosa rose)
Lineage: Eukaryota; Viridiplantae; Streptophyta; Magnoliopsida; Rosales; Rosaceae
Exons: 3
Source: RefSeq, a predicted model, not a curated record
UGAGACCUUGCUAGUGGGUUUAUAAGGGUUUGAGUCACUCCAUCCAUUGCCAAUUGAUUUUAGAUGUGAACCCCAGAUUACUUUAUCAUGGUAUACCCAAGGAAAAAGCAGCUAAGAAGAGGAAAUUGAACACAGGAGAAGCAUCAUCAACUCAAACUCAAACUCAGGCCAAGGGUAGCAAAAAGCAGCCAAAGACCAAAAAUGAGCUUAGAGAAUCGACAAAGAGAAGAGCUGAACAACAGAAGAAAAAGAGGGAUGAAAAGAAGGCAGCAGCAAGGGCAUCAAAAGCAUCAACAACUACAGCUGCUUCAAGCAAGGGCAGACCUCCAAAAGCUCCUUCAAGCAAGGGAAGACCAGCUUCUUCUUCACAGGCUUCAUCAAGGUCAUCUGCAAGGAUCCGGGAAAAUGCAAACAAUGGUGGAAAAUAGAGCAGGAGCUGUAUGGGUUAGCAACCAAGGUUAGGUUAUGAUUUAGAGAUGCAUGUUGCAAUUUUUUGUGCAGCCUUGUGCUAUGCCAGAAGGUUGCUAGGUCUAAUAUUUUGUUUAGAUUAUUAGACCUAUGAUUUUGUGCA